UACGGAAGCAGCAGUGGGGAAUAUUGCACAAUGGGCGCAAGCCUGAUGCAGCCAUGCCGCGUGUAUGAAGAAGGCCUUCGGGUUGUAAAGUACUUUCAGUCGUGAGGAAGGUGUUAAGGUUAAUAACCUUAGCAAUUGACGUUAGCGACAGAAGAAGCACCGGCUAACUCCGUGCCAGCAGCCGCGGUAAUACGGAGGGUGCGAGCGUUAAUCGGAAUUACUGGGCGUAAAGGGCACGCAGGCGGUUAAUUAAGUUGGAUGUGAAAUCCCCGGGCUUAACCUGGGAAUGGCAUUCAAGACUGGUUAGCUAGAGUCUUGUAGAGGGGGUAGAAUUCCGAUGUGUAGCGGUGAAAUGCGUAGAGAUGUGGAGGAAUACCGGUGGCGAAGGCGGCCCCUGGACAAAGACUGACGCUCAUGUGCGAAAGCGUGGGGAGCAAACAGGGAUUAGAUACC
Molecule: ribosomal RNA, 453 nt
Filed under: uncultured bacterium
Lineage: Bacteria
Description: bacterial SSU rRNA
Rfam family: Bacterial small subunit ribosomal RNA
Source: RNAcentral